Molecule: non-coding RNA, 501 nt
Organism: Orycteropus afer afer
Lineage: Eukaryota; Metazoa; Chordata; Mammalia; Tubulidentata; Orycteropodidae
Source: the annotation of a RefSeq genome assembly
AUGAACAAGCUCCUAGGAGCAUUAUUUUUAAUUUUAUGGCUUCCACUAGGCUGGGUGAGUGGCCAACAGAAGGACAAAAGUGACCAACAGCAGGUGAAGCAAAAUCCUCAAUCUCUGGUAGUCCAGGAAGGAAAGACUUCAAUUCUCAAUUGUGCUUAUGAUAACAGUGCAUUUGACUACUUCCCAUGGUACCGACAAUACUCUGGUAAAGGCCCUACAUUUUUGAUAGCCAUACGUUCAGUUGCAAGUAAAGAGGAAAAUGGAAGAUUCACAGUCCUCUUCAAUAAAACUGCCAAACACUUCUCUUUGCACAUCGUGGCUUCCCAGCUGGCUGACUCAGCCACCUACUUCUGUGCAGCAAGUGCACAGUGCUCUGCAGGCAUCUGCAGCCUGCACCCAAACCUGCAGCUGGGGCUUCAGCCAAACCUUGCUCUUGGAGCUUCGGCUGGCAGAUAUGUAGACCAGUGUUCAUUUAUGCAUUGUUGUUAUUGUGCUUGUUAG